CAGUCAGUACAAAAUCCGUUUGAACAGCCAUUAUUAUAGCCUUGCAUUGAGAAUAUCUCCUCAUUAAAUAAAACACAGAAGUACAGAGAUAUUUCCAAUGCAAUGCAAAUGCUGUAAAGGUUGUUCAAACGGGUCUUGCACUAAUUAAAUCCGAUCUCGCCUCAAAUACCACCAUCCUCUACAAGAAAAAUGAUACGGCUUAGCUGGCGGUCCUGAAGAUCGCUGCUAUAGAGAGAGUUAAUGUGGCGUUCUUAAGCAAUCCGCUGCCUAGAAAGUUAAAAUAAAACUUGUGUGGCGGUCUUUAGCUGGCACGUCGGAUUUUACGAUGGAACCGGAUUUGAGCCCAGUCUAAAUAACUCUCGAGAUCUAAAAUCCAAAAGCUCUGUGGAUCCCGCAUUUUCUUACUUCCCGUGUUCAAAAAAAUCCGUGUUGCAUAGUUUUGACGAAGAAGGGAAAGAUCAAAUUCUCAAACUCUCACUAUCUCUCUCUCCCUAUCUCUGAAAAUCUUCUUCUCAAUAGUUGCAGUGGUUAAAGGGGCAUAAAUCGGACAUAGGUACCUGUGGUUUCAAAUCCACAUUUCAAAGCUGAAUCAUUCUCAUUGAAUGACCAGAGUCAUUUGAGAAAAAGGAUGUGUGUGAAAUCCAGUUGAGAUACUCUUGAUUUUCAACCUAUUUACCCCUUGGACAAGAGAGUUAUUUCUCUGAUUACAUCACAGUAACAUACCUUUGGGUUUUCCAAGUUGCUGCAACGUAGCUGGUUUGGCUGUAAAAUGUUCAACCAUUAUGUCAAGUGGAUUUGCAUUGGACGAUGUGUUCCAUUAUUUGAGAAAUUGAUUUUUGUUAAAGUCCUUGUACUUUUUAUAUGUCAACUGGUUAUUGUAUUUAAACAAUUUCUUUUGGACAUUGUAAUAAUUA
Molecule: long non-coding RNA, 914 nt
Organism: Nelumbo nucifera (sacred lotus)
Lineage: Eukaryota; Viridiplantae; Streptophyta; Magnoliopsida; Proteales; Nelumbonaceae
Source: RefSeq, a predicted model, not a curated record